UCAGAGUGAACCGAGUCGACUGAAACGCCGUGUGGACUCUUUAUACCGUUAGAGAAAUCUACACUCUUUAAAAAGAUGGUUCUUCGAGAGUUCUUUAGGAAAGACUGGUUUUAUAUAUAGGUUACCACUCAAAGAACCCUUUGUAUGCUUGAAUGAUUUUUUGUAUGGUGAAAUGGCUCUUCUGGUUAAUACAGAAUGUCUUGUGUGUGGCUCUAUAUAUACCCUUUUAGGUCCUACAUAGAAAUGAUUCUAUAUAAAACCAAUUACAGCGCACUCUCCAUUCAUUUGAAGAACCCUUUCAUGAGCAAAGAACCCUUAAAUCAUGCAAAGGGCUCUUUGAGUGUUCAUAAUUCUACGUAGAACCACUGUCUUGAAGAAGGAUUUUUUUUAAGUGUAGCUAACGGCCUUUUGAACAAGUUUUCUGUACCAAAUUCUUAGUUAGACGCUGAAAAAUAAAACAGUACAGCAGCUUAGAAUCACCGGUUUCAGUACACUCAAGACAAGAUGGUUCUUGAAGGGUUCUUUAGUAAAGGGAAUUCUCUCUAGAACCAUGAAAGGGUUCUCUGCAUGGUGAAAUGGUUCUUCAGAUUGAUUAAGUUGUUGUAGACGGUUCUGUAUAGCACCAAAUGGGUUCUGCUGUAGUUAUAAUGUCAAACCUGUAAGAAUAGAAUAACCCUUUAUAGUACCAUAUACAACACAUUGUCCUUCAGUCUGAAGAACAAUUUCACCAUGCAAAGAACCAUUUAAGCAUAAAGUGGUUCUAUUUAGAACUUAUGGUUCUUUUUUAAAGAGUAACUACACCCCAAUACCAUUUGCUGGAAUGCACUGUAAUAAUAAAACAUAACAGCCUUGCUUAAAAUGUGCACACAUCUUUCCAAACUGUAAAAAUAACAUGUUUAUCGAGGUCUGUUCCACCACUGGUGGUUCCACCCCUCUGGUUCAACUCUGCUGUAGGCGUGGAUGACGUGUCAUCGUCCCAAAGUAUGAUGACACGUCACAGUAUGCAAAUCAUUCAAUGUUAUGGCCCCCUGAUGAAGCCCCCCAUUCCCUAAAGCAGGGGGAGAAAUCUGGCACCGUUUUGGAUCAUUUUCUAUACGUAUCGUUUCAUCGCAUUUAGAUUGUUAUUCAGUGUUCUAGUUAGUUAGAACUGUUAGUUCUGAGUUAUUGUGUUUGCAGAUAUUGUAGUUUUCAGCCUUUUAGUCUUAGCUAGGUUAUGUUAGCUAGUUAGUUAGCUACCUAAGUUUACUAUUUAGUCUUUCAGAUUCAAGUUUGGUUUUUCCAAUUGUUCAGCAUUUUUGAAUUUAGUAAGUAAGUAAGUAAACAUUUAUUUAUAUAGCACUUUUCUAAGCACAGCUACAAAGUGCUUCACAAACAACAAGUACUAAAAAUAGAAUGAUAAAACAAAACAGAUACAGAAUUUAGCUUUUUCUGGUUGAGAUCAAUGCGUCCAGCGCUGGUCAGCCAGUGGUUACAUGUGAUCGGUCUGCAUGCCAGUACCAAGAUUGUCAGCAUGCAUGCUUGCAAUGCACACUCUGAUGAGGGGAGCUUUGCCAGCUUCGUGGAGGUCAAAUGUGUUAUCUGCCUGAACAACAUCUUUGCCUGAAGCCAGAUGGCGUCCCUUCAUCUGCAGAGCACGUAGCUAACAUUUCUGGCUAAGGCAAAAACCUGUAGAGACGCAACAUGUCAGACUGCUUCAACUGGCCUGCAUGAUGUCUUUGUCCAGGCACAUGUGAAGCCAUCCAGAAAGUUUAAAGCUGCAGGCUGUGUUGACAAACUCAUGGAUCUGCUGUGUGACCAUGUGGCAAAAUGACCUCAUCCCCAUCACAAGAUCUUAAGCCAGGUGCUUUUUCCUAAACACCUCUGUACUCCUUAUGUUUGACCCAACAAAGUGAGGCAGCAGCAAAUGCUUCAGGAACAACAAAUGCAGCUCAAACAAGAGCCUCCACCUGUCCUUUUGCCAAGGUAACCAAGCACCUGAUUAGUUGACCUAAAACUGUGUUUGCCAGCAAGAGCCUUUGCCUGUUUGCCAGCAAGAGCCCAGCCUUUUUUCAUUUUUGCAAACAAAUAAGUUUUGCAUAAGGACUCCAAACACUGUCUGAGACCUUACAGAAAAUCCUCAGGAACCUUCACUCAUGGUAGUGACUGCUGUUAGCAGUGGCAUGCCACCAUGGACCAUUUCAGCUGAGCUGGAGGAAACCAUGGUUGUAUAAAUAUUACCACAGAGAAGUGAGUGUCUGUUAGUGAGACAGAGAGACAAAUGACAGUAAAACCUCUAAUUAAUGCCAAAGCCUACAAUUGUUAAAAUAAACAUAUCCUCAAAAUCAAUUGUCUUGUGAUUUUGUAAAUUUAUUUGAUUAUUCUUUUGUAAAUGUGUUCUGAAUGUAGUUAUUAAUAAAUGUAACUAUGUAUGAGCAAAUUAUUUAAGAUCAAGCAGGAGAAGAAAUCCUGUGUAACCUCGAUAUUUCUCAUGAAAAUCCUCUCUAAAUCAGUAUCACUGGACAGAAGGGAAUAACAAGUACAUGUACAUGCUGAUCUAAAUACCCACCAGCACUGCCCCACAACGUUUUGUUAUGCGAAAUGGCAGCAUGCUAAAAAGCUAGAUUUUGAUGCUGAUAAUGCUAGAGACAAGCUGACGUAAGAUAACUAGACUGCAUAGAUUGGAUUAACUUUUUACCUUGCCCACCUCCCUCCAGCAAAUUUUCAGAAAAGUAGAGAGCUUAAAAUUUGACCAAAUUUAGACAGUGUUUAAAGCAGUCUACUUCAUUUAUUCAAAUUCAAUACAUCUAAGAAAUCAGAACCUGGGUUUCACUGAAUGUAUAUCUGAAUAUAUACUGAGUGUAUGUUUAGUUUAUUCAGCUAUUAGCUAUUUCUCUUUCCAGUUCAUAUUUGGAAACAAAGUUACAAAAACCUAUUUCGAUUUCAUUGUUUUUGUGAUGUCAUGAAAACGAAUGCUUUUUAAGCUAUACCCACUUUUUCAGCCUGCAGCUCUGCUCAUUCACUCUGAAGUCAUAAGAUGUUUUCCAGCCCAAACUGCUUUUUGAACAAGACGUGAUGCAGGGCAGCCAAUCAGAGGCUCAUUUACAUAUACCAGACGGGAUGGUAUUUUAUCAUUAUUGUGAUACCUUUUGUUGUCGUGAUAAACGGUACUCUUUUUUUGAGUAUAUUGUGGCUAUCUUCCUUCUUAAAUAACACUUGACCACCUUCACGUUUCAUUACAAGUAGAGCAUAACUAGUCUAAUGGGAUUUAGCACAGUGGACUAAACAUGUGUGACAUUAAAUAAUCAUUUUACUCAGUUUUUAAAAUAUGACACUACUAAUGCAUUCUAUGUGAUAGUUCACCUACCCCUGAUCAGUUGUAAAGAAACAGUAACAAAAACAGCUUGUUAAUUUUUUUAGUAAUCAAAAGUGGACAAUGUUGAUAAUGGAAAUUUCAAUUAUUAGUAGAAAAAUAUAUAAUGCAAGAGUAAUUUAGGGCCUUAAUGAAGGAUCUUUGAUUUCUGAAUUCUUUCCUGUAAACCAGAGAUCACUAAUAGGUGGACCGCUGUCCGAAUCAGGACCCCGACGUCCUAUGCGGACCUGGACCUAUAACCGAUAAACUAUGGAGAAUUAUUUAAUUUCGACGGGGUGGUCCAAUUUUAACCUGCAUGACCUCUCUAACCUUUAUGGUGCAGCUUUAGCAACCUGGAAGACUCACAGACCAAUUGCAGGCAUAGUAAAUAUCACACGUGAUGCUACUCAGCCAAUCAGAUCUGUGCAUUACAA
Long non-coding RNA from Pygocentrus nattereri (red-bellied piranha), 3762 nucleotides. RefSeq lists it as uncharacterized. The record is from RefSeq and is a predicted model, not a curated record. The transcript has 6 exons. Lineage: Eukaryota; Metazoa; Chordata; Actinopteri; Characiformes; Serrasalmidae.